Molecule: ribosomal RNA, 468 nt
Filed under: uncultured bacterium
Lineage: Bacteria
Description: partial 16S ribosomal RNA
Rfam family: Bacterial small subunit ribosomal RNA
Source: RNAcentral
GACGAACGCUGGCGGCGUGCUUAACACAUGCAAGUCGAACGGAAAGGCCCUGCUUUUGUGGGGUGCUCGAGUGGCGAACGGGUGAGUAACACGUGAGUAACCUGCCCUUGACUUUGGGAUAACUUCUGGAAACUGGGGCUAAUACCGGAUAGGAGCUCCUGCUGCAUGGUGGGGGUUGGAAAGUUUCGGCGGUUGGGGAUGGACUCGCGGCUUAUCAGCUUGUUGGUGGGGUAGUGGCUUACCAAGGCUUUGACGGGUAGCCGGCCUGAGAGGGUGACCGGCCACAUUGGGACUGAGAUACGGCCCAGACUCCUACGGGAGGCAGCAGUGGGGAAUAUUGCACAAUGGGCGGAAGCCUGAUGCAGCAACGCCGCGUGCGGGAUGACGGCCUUCGGGUUGUAAACCGCUUUCGCCUGUGACGAAGCGUGAGUGACGGUAAUGGGUAAAGAAGCACCGGCUAACUACGUG